UUAAGAAAAUAAGUGCAAGCGGUGGAUGCCUUGGCAUUCAGAGGCGAUGAAGGACGUGAUAAUCUGCGAUAAGCUUCGGUUAGCUGGUAAAUGAGCUAUGACCCGGAGAUUUCCGAAUGGGGGAACC
Molecule: ribosomal RNA, 127 nt
Filed under: Francisella tularensis
Lineage: Bacteria; Pseudomonadati; Pseudomonadota; Gammaproteobacteria; Thiotrichales; Francisellaceae
Description: partial 23S ribosomal RNA
Rfam family: Bacterial large subunit ribosomal RNA
Source: RNAcentral